AAAUUCUUACCUCAAUUCUAGCUUUAUGGACAGCUCUUCCACACAAGGAACUUGACGCUAAGGCUCAUUAUAUCCGGCACAAAGAAAUCAAAGGUGUGAAUGCUGUCAAGAUCCUUGCCAAGGGGCUUGAAGAUGCUAUUGCUGGCACUGAUUUACAGGUGCUGAAGCGUGGCGAUGAUUCAAUAGAUAUUAUCAGUCUUGAGCAGGAAUCAAAAGAUGAUUCAGAAGAUAAUAUCCUAAAGGAAAUACUGGAGGCUAUGAAAGCUGAACUCUGAAACGCAUAGUGGCCAUACUUAGCUAAAAUCCUUUCACGUCACCGUGUGGCAAACAUUUCAAUGUUUUGAAUCUGCUAUGAUCCCUUUACCUUAAAAGAUUUAUUUUAUUAUCUAUCUAUCUCUCAAACGUUAUACAAAUUAUUUAGCUAAAGAUGCUCAUUGAUCCGUUGAGUUUGAUGUUAGGGACAAGUGUAAAUGUUAUAUUUACCUAUAUUUGAGAUAUUGUCAUUUUUGUAGUACUAGUACGUUGUUUCGGUGUUAUG
This is an RNA transcript of Medicago truncatula (barrel medic), 538 nucleotides long. RefSeq lists it as uncharacterized. NCBI's taxonomy places the organism in Eukaryota, Viridiplantae, Streptophyta, Magnoliopsida, Fabales, Fabaceae. The record is from RefSeq and is a predicted model, not a curated record. The transcript has 3 exons.